Long non-coding RNA from Gadus macrocephalus (Pacific cod), 810 nucleotides. RefSeq lists it as uncharacterized. The transcript is spliced from 2 exons. NCBI's taxonomy places the organism in Eukaryota, Metazoa, Chordata, Actinopteri, Gadiformes, Gadidae. The record is from RefSeq and is a predicted model, not a curated record.
CUCAGGUAACAUUAGCAGCUACCUAACCCUUACCUACACUUAUGUUUGCAGUGCAUGAUUUCUGAUAACAUGCCAUUGCAGAUACUCACCUUAUGUUAUCCAUAAUAGGUUACAAGACGGCAGGAACAGCUGGAUGAAAGGCCUCCCUGUAUGAUAGACCAUCCAGGUGUAGAACCGGUUUGUCUAAAUGUGUUCUCGCUGCAGAACGCAUUCAACAUUUACAGAGCUGACGACGGUCCUUUGCGACUACGGGGGAUAGUGCAUCGUUACAGGUAUUUAGCCUAUAGAAAUUUUGUGAGCUGGUGCUGGGGCUUCCUUGGGCGGAAGAUAUGGGUUGUUAUCCCAUCAUGCGUUGUUCUUCGUAUACACCGGGAGUUUCCUGACGCCCAUGGAAGAUAAGGAGGCUUCAAACCACCCUCCCUUGAUUGAAUCUGGAGACGUAGCUGGCGAUGACCUCCUCCUUGUCUGGAUGCUCAUAUUCUGAAGACAGUUCCGGCAGGAUGUUUAUCUUCAGAAUCUCUGCUCUGUACGAUGCUGGGUCGACAAAGACCUUCUCCAUGAUCAUGUGUGUCCAUCAAAUCAUUCACAUACUCUGUGCAACACACACAAAAGGGAAUCACUAGUUACUAGAUUAUUCAACAACUGUUCAUGCAUUGACAUUUUGCACUUUGAAUAUUUGGUAUAUUUUCAGGUAUUUAUGUGCAUUUAUUUGUUUAUUUUAUUGUGUUGGAGUUUGUCUCAUGUACUUUGUCUCAUGUUCAAUAUAAAUGUUUAUUUUCUGAGUAAAAUUAAAAGUUGACACUUACGGAA